AGUGAACGCUGGCGGUAGGCCUAACACAUGCAAGUCGAACGGCAGCACAGAGGAGCUUGCUCCUUGGGUGGCGAGUGGCGGACGGGUGAGGAAUACAUCGGAAUCUACUCUGUCGUGGGGGAUAACGUAGGGAAACUUACGCUAAUACCGCAUACGACCUACGGGUGAAAGCAGGGGACCUUCGGGCCUUGCGCGAUUGAAUGAGCCGAUGUCGGAUUAGCUAGUUGGCGGGGUAAAGGCCCACCAAGGCGACGAUCCGUAGCUGGUCUGAGAGGAUGAUCAGCCACACUGGAGCUGAGACACGGUCCAGACUACUACGGGAGGCAGCAGUGGGGAAUAUUGGACAAUGGGCGCAAGCCUGAUCCAGCCAUACCGCGUGGGUGAAGAAGGCCUUCGGGUUGUAAAGCCCUUUUGUUGGGAAAGAAAUCCAGCUGGCUAAUACCCGGUUGGGAUGACGGUACCCAAAGAAUAAGCACCGGCUAACUUCGUGCCAGCCGCCGCUGUAA
Molecule: ribosomal RNA, 506 nt
Filed under: uncultured bacterium
Lineage: Bacteria
Description: partial 16S ribosomal RNA
Rfam family: Bacterial small subunit ribosomal RNA
Source: RNAcentral